GACGAACGCUGGCGGCGUGCUUAACACAUGCAAGUCGAACGGAAAGGCCCUGCUUGCAGGGUACUCGAGUGGCGAACGGGUGAGUAACACGUGGGUGAUCUGCCCUGCACUUCGGGAUAAGCUUGGGAAACUGGGUCUAAUACCGGAUAGGAACCAUCUUUAGUGUGGUGGUUGGAAAGUUUUUUCGGUGUAGGAUGAGCUCGCGGCCUAUCAGCUUGUUGGUGGGGUAAUGGCCUACCAAGGCGGCGACGGGUAGCCGGCCUGAGAGGGUGUACGGCCACAUUGGGACUGAGAUACGGCCCAGACUCCUACGGGAGGCAGCAGUGGGGAAUAUUGCACAAUGGGCGCAAGCCUGAUGCAGCGACGCCGCGUGGGGGAUGAAGGCCUUCGGGUUGUAAACUCCCUUCGCUAGGGACGAAGCUUUUUGUGACGGUACCUAGAGAAGAAGCACCGGCUAACUACGUG
This 465-nucleotide ribosomal RNA is filed under the name uncultured bacterium. RNAcentral's name for it is "partial 16S ribosomal RNA". It matches the Rfam family "Bacterial small subunit ribosomal RNA", at positions 28 to 507 of the family's 1533-position model. The record is from RNAcentral.